UACGUAGGCAGCAAGCGUUGUUCGGAGUUACUGGGCGUAAAGGGUGUGUAGGCGGUUGUUUAAGUUUGGUGUGAAAUCUCCCUGCUCAACUGGGAGGGUGCGCCGAAUACUGAAUGACUAGAGUGCGGGAGAGGAAAGUGGAAUUCCUGGUGUAGCGGUGAAAUGCGUAGAUAUUAGGAGGAACACCGGUGGUGUAGACGGCUUUCUGGACCGUAACUGACGCUGAGACACGAAAGCGUGGGUAGCAAACAGG
This 253-nucleotide ribosomal RNA is filed under the name uncultured bacterium. RNAcentral's name for it is "partial 16S ribosomal RNA". It matches the Rfam family "Bacterial small subunit ribosomal RNA", at positions 524 to 776 of the family's 1533-position model. The record is from RNAcentral.